UGCCCGGUUAGCUCAGUUGGUUAGAGUACUUCCUUGACAUGGAAGGGGUCGGAAGUUCGAGUCUUCUACCGGGCAU
RNAcentral lists this transfer RNA (76 nucleotides) under Endomicrobiia bacterium. RNAcentral describes it as "tRNA-Val". It matches the Rfam family "tRNA". From Rfam's summary of the family: Transfer RNA (tRNA) molecules are approximately 80 nucleotides in length. Their secondary structure includes four short double-helical elements and three loops (D, anti-codon, and T loops). Further hydrogen bonds mediate the characteristic L-shaped molecular structure. tRNAs have two regions of fundamental functional importance: the anti-codon, which is responsible for specific mRNA codon recognition, and the 3' end, to which the tRNAs corresponding amino acid is attached (by aminoacyl-tRNA synthetases). tRNAs cope with the degeneracy of the genetic code in two manners: having more than one tRNA (with a specific anti-codon) for a particular amino acid; and 'wobble' base-pairing, i.e. permitting non-standard base-pairing at the 3rd anti-codon position. Lineage: Bacteria; Pseudomonadati; Elusimicrobiota; Endomicrobiia. The record is from RNAcentral.